GAUGAACGCUAGCUACAGGCUUAACACAUGCAAGUCGAGGGGAAACGGCAUUGAGUGCUUGCACUCUUUGGACGUCGACCGGCGCACGGGUGAGUAACGCGUAUCCAACCUUCCCAUUACUGUGGGAUAACCUGCCGAAAGGCAGACUAAUACCGCAUAGUCUUCGAUGACGGCAUCAGAUUUGAAGUAAAGAUUUAUCGGUAAUGGAUGGGGAUGCGUCUGAUUAGCUUGUUGGCGGGGUAACGGCCCACCAAGGCAACGAUCAGUAGGGGUUCUGAGAGGAAGGUCCCCCACAUUGGAACUGAGACACGGUCCAAACUCCUACGGGAGGCAGCAGUGAGGAAUAUUGGUCAAUGGACGGAAGUCUGAACCAGCCAAGUAGCGUGCAGGAUGACGGCCCUAUGGGUUGUAAACUGCUUUUGUAUGGGGAUAAAGUUAGGGACGUGUCCCUAUUUGCAGGUACCAUACGAAUAAGGACCGGCUAAUUCCGUGCCAGCAGCCGCGGUAAUACGGAAGGUCCAGGCGUUAUCCGGAUUUAUUGGGUUUAAAGGGAGCGUAGGCUGGAGAUUAAGUGUGUUGUGAAAUGUAGACGCUCAACGUCUGAAUUGCAGCGCAUACUGGUUUCCUUGAGUACGCACAACGUUGGCGGAAUUCGUCGUGUAGCGGUGAAAUGCUUAGAUAUGACGAAGAACUCCGAUUGCGAAGGCAGCUGACGGGAGCGCAACUGACGCUUAAGCUCGAAGGUGCCGGUAUCAAACAGG
RNAcentral lists this ribosomal RNA (761 nucleotides) under Prevotella melaninogenica. RNAcentral describes it as "bacterial SSU rRNA". It matches the Rfam family "Bacterial small subunit ribosomal RNA", at positions 28 to 776 of the family's 1533-position model. The record is from RNAcentral. Lineage: Bacteria; Pseudomonadati; Bacteroidota; Bacteroidia; Bacteroidales; Prevotellaceae.